AAAGCAGAAAUAUAAAUAAUGGUACCGUCCAGCUGCGCGUAAGGUUUGUCUCCCCAGUGUGUUGCACGAGAACAUAUGGACGCGUUUCUUUCACGACCAACGCCCGGUUUAUGUAAAUGCGAUGUUAACGUUAACAAAGCAACUUUUUGCACACCACACGCUGUGAAAAGUGUCUCUUGGUUUCUCGUUCUUUUAUUCAUCAUGUGCCGUUAGUCUGCGCGUUCCCGCUUUUAAUGCACGUCAUUCUCGUAUUUCAGAUCCUUCACACGGAAAACACGGGUUGCUCUAGAACCCGCAUAGCCCACCAGAGUAAUCGUGGCGUGGAUCGGAAAAGCAUAACGACUGCGAAGCAAUAUGUCGGACUCCACAAGCGCCUCCUGUAACGGGGGAUACACAGGAAAGCUCUAUACGUAGAAAACCAACUGAUGACAUGACUUCCACGGCUGCCCGGAAUGCUUCCUGUUUUCCUCAACCGUUUCUGU
Long non-coding RNA from Ornithodoros turicata, 482 nucleotides. RefSeq lists it as uncharacterized. The record is from RefSeq and is a predicted model, not a curated record. The transcript is spliced from 3 exons. NCBI's taxonomy places the organism in Eukaryota, Metazoa, Arthropoda, Arachnida, Ixodida, Argasidae.